CCAAAGCACACAUAUCAAAUAUAUCAAUGAUUUCCAAACAAGGUUAAACGAGGUCUUACAAAUCACUCUAGGUGCCUUAUCGCAUCAUAAUCCAUUAGGUGGUGACUCUUCAAAUGCCCAAAUCCCAUAAGGAAAGAGUUUUUUACCCCAUGAACUAUGAAACUUGGACUUUCUCCGCAAAAGAAAAAGGAGGAGCGAUAUUAUGAACACCCAUUCACUCAAAAGCACACUCGAACAAAAAUUAUCAAAAUCUGAUGCUAAAAUCUCCCUCAAAACUUAGAUUUUAAGUUUGGGAACAUUUCUGCAUUUCUCAAAAUUUUCACCCAAAAUCCGGAAUUAAAUGACAAAACUAAGAUUAGAUUAAUGAAAUAUAACUAGAAAGGGAUAAGGAAUCAUUACCCACAAAUUUUUCCUUAAAAAUCCGCCCAAAAUCCCUCUACCGAGCUCCAAUUCGAUUUUCCAACUUAUGAACUCAAACCCUCAAUUUUCUUUUUUUUCUGCCCAGUGAUUUUCGCAUCUGCAGGGGUUGACCGCACCUGCGGCUGCUACUCCGCACCUACGGAUUUUCAUUAAACGUCCAUAAAUUGCACCUACGAUCCUAUACUCGCAGAUGCGAUCCGCUUCUACGGUUCUUGAGCCGCACCUAUGACCAGCUUCACGUGUGCCUCAGACCACACCUGCAGUUCCCUAACUGCUUCUGCGGUGCUGAACGUGCGGUCACACAUACGCAGGUGCAAUUAUGACAGGUUCAGCAAUCUCAGAUUUUGCCUAAGUCCAAAUUCCAAUUCGUUAAGCAUC
Molecule: long non-coding RNA, 798 nt
Filed under: Nicotiana benthamiana
Lineage: Eukaryota; Viridiplantae; Streptophyta; Magnoliopsida; Solanales; Solanaceae
Description: long non-coding RNA (NBEN_LNC002510)
Source: RNAcentral